UACGGCCGUACCAUGCUGAAUACGCCUGUUCUCGUUAGAUCACCGAAGUCAAGCAUCAUUGGGCGCGGUCAGUACUUGGGUGGGUGACCACCUGGGAACACCGCGUGCCGUU
RNAcentral lists this ribosomal RNA (112 nucleotides) under Caerostris darwini. The record is from RNAcentral. Lineage: Eukaryota; Metazoa; Arthropoda; Arachnida; Araneae; Araneidae.